CUGUGUGUGCAUAUGAGUGUGUGUGUCUGUAUCAAAUACUGUCCAUUCUCAUUUCCUACCUCUUUACUACCCUGGUCCACAAUUCCAACAAAUGUCUAUUGUGUUUAUCUUAAUUGCUUUGGGACCCACUGAGAUCGACCAAAGCCAUCUGCGAGACUUGUGGGCUUGGAUCUAUGUGAACGAGACUGGUGGGCUCAGCAGAGGACUACAACCAAAGAGUUCUCAGAGCCAUGGAUGGGAAGGAGUAACUGGCCUUUUCAGAGGAAAUUCCACCAUUCCCAGUUGGACUCCGACAGUGGUCUCUAACUGCAGAAGACGCAGCCAGGUAUUCGGGACCUGAAACCUCCCCGGAGCCACAGUCGCCGCGCGGGGCGGCCUGGGAAAGUCACCAGUCAGCAGCGCAGUGGCGGGAACCGCAGCCCGGCGGCCCUGGAACCUCCCAGAGAGUGGCGUAUUUACCUGGAGACUUGGAUUCGCCGAGAGCUUUUAGAUAAUAGUCAUGAAAGGUACAUCUGCGCAGGCCUUUAAUCCCAGCACUCAGGAGGCAGAGCCAGGCAGAUCUCUGUGAGUUCGAGGCCAGCCUGGUCUAC
Peromyscus leucopus (white-footed mouse) is the source of this 590-nucleotide long non-coding RNA. RefSeq lists it as uncharacterized. The transcript is spliced from 4 exons. NCBI's taxonomy places the organism in Eukaryota, Metazoa, Chordata, Mammalia, Rodentia, Cricetidae. The record is from RefSeq and is a predicted model, not a curated record.